This 376-nucleotide ribosomal RNA is filed under the name uncultured Geobacillus sp. Its description in RNAcentral is "bacterial SSU rRNA". It matches the Rfam family "Bacterial small subunit ribosomal RNA", at positions 1011 to 1382 of the family's 1533-position model. Lineage: Bacteria; Bacillati; Bacillota; Bacilli; Caryophanales; Anoxybacillaceae. The record is from RNAcentral.
UAUGGUCCUUCGGGGACAGGGGAGGACAGGUGGUGCAUGGUUGUCGUCAGCUCGUGUCGUGAGAUGUUGGGUUAAGUCCCGCAACGAGCGCAACCCUUGUGUUUAGUUGCCAACAGGUUUAAAGCUGUGCACUCUAAACAGACUGCCGUGGAUAACACGGAGGAAGGUGGGGAUGACGUCAAAUCAUCAUGCCCCUUAUGAUCUGGGCUACACACGUGCUACAAUGGUCGGUACAACGGGCAGCGAACCCGCGAGGGGGAGCCAAUCCCAAAAAGCCGCUCUCAGUUCGGAUUGCAGGCUGCAACUCGCCUGCAUGAAGCCGGAAUCGCUAGUAAUCGCGGAUCAGCAUGCCGCGGUGAAUACGUUCCCGGGCCUU